This 253-nucleotide ribosomal RNA is filed under the name uncultured bacterium. Its description in RNAcentral is "partial 16S ribosomal RNA". It matches the Rfam family "Bacterial small subunit ribosomal RNA", at positions 524 to 776 of the family's 1533-position model. The record is from RNAcentral.
UACGAGAGCCUCGAGCGUUAUCCGGAAUUAUUGGGCGUAAAGGGUGCGUAGGUUGUUCUGUUAGUCUCUUGUCAAAGACCCGGGCUUAACCUGGGGAUCGCAGGAGAAACGGCAGAACUUGAAAGUGCGAGAGGCGUACGGAACUCAUGGUGUAGGGGUGAAAUCCGUUGACAUCAUGGGGAACACCAAAUGCGAAGGCAGUACGCUAGUGCAUAUUUGACACUGAAGCACGAAAGCGUGGGUAGCGAAUGGG